AUCUGUUUUGGAUUCUUUCGUUUUUGCCCUGGUAAAAACAAAGGAUAAAGGGAAUCUGGUGAAAAUCCAGAGCGAUCCGGUCACUGUAAUUCGUUAAGUCUCCUUAUGAUGCCACUGGAAUGAAAACCGGGAAGGCAAGGAGAAUAUAAUGCGAUGAGUCAGGAAACCUACUGGACAGAGUGCUAAUAA
Molecule: non-coding RNA, 189 nt
Organism: Eubacterium limosum KIST612
Lineage: Bacteria; Bacillati; Bacillota; Clostridia; Eubacteriales; Eubacteriaceae
Source: Rfam